AUUGAACGCUGGCGGCAGGCCUAACACAUGCAAGUCGAACGGUAACAGGAAGAAGCUUGCUUCUUUGCUGACGAGUGGCAGACGGGUGAGUAAUGUCUGGGAAACUGCCUGAUGGAGGGGGAUAACUACUGGAAACGGUAGCUAAUACCGCAUAACGUCGCAAGCCCAAAGAGGGGGACCUUCGGGCCUCUUGCCAUCGGAUGUGCCCAGAUGGGAUUAGCUAGUAGGUGGGGUAACGGCUCACCUAGGCGACGAUCCCUAGCUGGUCUGAGAGGAUGACCAGCCACACUGGAACUGAGACACGGUCCAGACUCCUACGGGAGGCAGCAGUGGGGAAUAUUGCACAAUGGGCGCAAGCCUGAUGCAGCCAUGCCGCGUGUAUGAAGAAGGCCUUCGGGUCGUAAAGUACUUUCAGCGGGGAGGAAGGGAGUAAAGUUAAUACCUUUACUCAUUGACGUUACCCGCAGAAGAAGCACCGGCUAACUCCGUG
This 490-nucleotide ribosomal RNA is filed under the name uncultured bacterium. RNAcentral's name for it is "partial 16S ribosomal RNA". It matches the Rfam family "Bacterial small subunit ribosomal RNA", at positions 30 to 507 of the family's 1533-position model. The record is from RNAcentral.